GUAAUAUUUAAUUUUUUUAAUUUUCAAACAAGCUUUUUUUAAGUUUCUUUUUUCGACAGCGAAAUGAGUUGAACUCUCAGCGCCCUGAAAAUGAUUGUCAGCAUGUGCAUGCUGGGAAAUAUGAACUUCCCAUGAACAGACACAACAGCAAGUGAAUUUCGACAGGUGUUGUCUUGAACAGGAGGAGGUGCAUCUUCCAGAGGUUCUUCUCUUAUAAUUACAUCCUGACAUGAUGAAAGCUUGUUUGCUUUCGUUCUUAAGAGCCCGUGUGGUCCAACAGUGUGCACCAUCCACAAAAGCCAAAAUGCUGCUGCAAAAAGAAGAAAGAUCCAUGCAAUGCAACAGCGUUUUCACCCUUGGGUAACUAUAAACGGUCACCAAGUCUUCCAAACCACCCUAAUGGUGCCAUCGACGGAGGCUGUUACCAUGCAAUUGUCUCACACUUAUUACCACUGAGGAAUGAGGGCGAAAACUUGACACCACCGUUGCAUCCACAAGAUCCCAAAAGUAAAUGUAACCAUCCGCAGACCCGCCAGUCACAUGGGCAUCAGUGUUGGUAAGGCAGCAAUCCAAUUUAUAUGACUUACAAGUGUGUACUUUAUAUUCUUGCAAGAGUUCACCUGUAGAUCUCUCCAAAAGGCGCAAGGUAGAAUCUAGGCAACUUGCUAAUAUACAAUUUCCAUCAUUUGACGUGGAAAUACAGUUGACAGGCUGCCCCAAGUCAUCGACAAUUUCUCUACCAAUACGGAUAUCAAAUGUUCUAACAGUACCAUCAACACUUCCAGCGAUCAUCUCAGUUUUCUUCAAGCAUACAGACAUUACACUGUCUGAAAAUGCAUCAAUGAUAUGCAUAUUAACCGGAAAUUUGAGAGAAUAUAAGGCAGCAUUAACAAAUUUAAAUAAAUAUUAAGAAAAGAAAGAAAGAAAAUGACCCUAAUUGGCUCAGUACUGUGAGAUCUACAAUCACAGGCGCGCAAUGACUGAUCAUAACCAGCUGAUACUACAACAGAAGCAUACUCAUUAGACUUCACAGCAUUCACCUCCAAAAAAAAUGGACAUGAACAUAUCAAAAGGAUGACAAAAUCAUUGCAAGUAAAUUGUUAAUUGUACCUGGCUAUCAUGGCCUCUAAAUUUUUGAAUGACACGACCAGCUGCCACAUCCCAGUAAAAGAUUUUCCGGUCACCAUCGCAAGAAAUUAGCUUGGAAUUGUCCCUAAA
Molecule: unclassified non-coding RNA, 1218 nt
Filed under: Hevea brasiliensis (rubber tree)
Lineage: Eukaryota; Viridiplantae; Streptophyta; Magnoliopsida; Malpighiales; Euphorbiaceae
Source: RNAcentral